Molecule: long non-coding RNA, 2641 nt
Filed under: Sparus aurata (gilthead seabream)
Lineage: Eukaryota; Metazoa; Chordata; Actinopteri; Spariformes; Sparidae
Description: lncRNA (ENSSAUG00010021262.1)
Source: RNAcentral
UACAUUUUAUUAGUGUGAAUGCUGCAAGCAACAAUAGUGGGCUGUGCUCGCCAGCCCACUAUUGUUAUUCCUUGACCCUCUUCUUAUUAGUGGGCUGUGCUCGCCAGCCCACUAUGGACACCUCUAUAGCAGAGCUAUAGGUGUCCAUAGUGGGCUGUGCGGAGCAUUGUUAUUGCUCGCUCCUCCUUUUACUAGUGUGAAUGCUGCAAGCAUUCACACUAUUGUUCUUCUGGUGUUUAUUAAAGUUAUUGUUCUUCUGGAAUUUAUUAAAGUUAUUAUUAGUGUGAAUGCUGCAAGCAUUCACACUAUUGUUCUUCUGGAAUUUAUUAAAGUUAUUAUUAUUCAUGAUUCCGUACGUUUUUCAGCACUCUUCUCCUCCUUCAAACUUUGUCCGAUUGAAACCAUUCAAAUAUCAAAAUGUUCAGCUUUUUAAGGACAUGAUGGUGUGUAUUUUUCUCGUUUCAAUCUUUUAUACUUUUGGAAAUAUUAAGCUUUUAAUGCAAAAUUUUUCCCAUUCAUUCUUAUGGGGAUUUUUUCAAAUUUCAUUCUGCUAGGGUUUAGGGUUAGGGUACCUACCCUACCCUAACCCUUAGAAGCCCAGGAGCGACAAGCACUCCUGAAUGUUCCCCAUAAGCCGCAAUGUUAAUAUUGAGCCUUAAUUUCUGGAGGAUCGCAGACGGUACAUGUUUUGUCUCUCGCUCCUGUGUCCUCAUUAUGCACUUUACAGAAAUAUAAAUGACAUGAGUGCGUUCAGCAAUGUCUCCUGUUACUCAACAUAUAGCAUGUUUUGGCGAUAACUAUUACAGUUUUCUCAAGAAUCGCAGGAGUUUGGCACGCAUUCUCCCAUUCAUUCCUUAUGGGGACACUUUCGUCUGUGUUUCUGCUCCUGCUGCAGCAUGUCUGCAGCCAUUUGAAGCUCUUUCUGCCUUUAACUUCUCACCUGUCAGCCUUUUUUCACCUUUUUAACCUCUUUCUGCCCUCUUACUCUACAACUUUUUGGCCUUUUCAGUCUUUUUUUCACCUUUUUAAGCUCAUUCCUCCCUCUUACUCUACAGCUGUUCAUAUGUUUUCACCUUUUAACCUCUUCCAGGCCUCUUACUCUACUGCUUGUCAUCCUUUAUUCACCUUUUUAACCUCUUCCAGCCCUCUUAUUCUACAGCUUUUCAUAUGUUUUCACCUUUUAACCUCUUCCAGCCCUCUUACUCUACAGCUUUUCAUCCUUUUUCACCUUUUUAACAUCUUCCAGCCCUCUUACUCUACAGCUUUUCAUAUGUUAUCACCAUUUUAACCUCUUCCAGCCCUCUUACUCUACAACUGUUCAUAUUUUUUCACCUUUUUAACCUCUUCCAGCCCUCUUACUCUACAGCUUUUCAUGUUUUCACCUUUUGAACCUCUUCCAGCCCUCUUACUCUACAGGUUUCAUCCUUUUUCACCUUUUUAAACUUUUUCGGUCCUCGUCAGCCUUGAACUUUUUGCCUUUUUUGCCUUCUUUCACCUUUUUAAGCUCUUUCAGCCGUGUUACUCUACAGCUUUUUAGCCUUUUUAGAUAUUCAUGUUUCUGCCUUUUCAACUCCUUCAAACAUACAACUUCAUGUUCAGCUAGAGAAACUGUUCAGCUAUCAAAAUGUUCAACUUUUUUAGCCCAUUAAACCUAUUGCUUUUAAGCCUUUCUGCCUUACCAGCUUUUGGAAAAUUCUGCUUUUUCUGCAAAAUCCCGACUAUUCAGCCUAUAGUUUUAUGCAUUUCCGGCAGUACGUUCAGCAGAUUUCGCUUCAGUCUUCAGCAUUCACACUGUAUUUUCGUAGGAAAUGCAAAUUUUUCUAGUUAUUAUUCCUGCUUCCGUACGUUUUUCAGCACUUUUCAACUCCUUCAAACUUUGACCGAUUUAAACCAUUCAGGUAUCAAAACGUGCAGCUUUUUAAGGACAUUACUGCUAUUACUUUUGGUUUUUCCAACUAUUAUACUUUUGGAAAUAUUCAGCUUUUAAUGCAAAAUUUUCCCCAUUCAUCCUUAUGGGGAUUUUUUCAAAUUUCAUUCUGCUAUAACUUCAGCAUACCUCUUUAACCUCUUCCAAUCCUCUUACUCUACAUCUUUUUAUCUUUUCAUCCUUUUCUCACCUAUUGGAGCUCUUUCACCCUCAAACUUUUUUUACCUUUUCAUCCUUUUUUCACCUUUUUAACCUCUUCAAGCCCUCUUACUCUACAGAUUUUCAUCCUUUAUUCACCUUUUUAACCUCUUCCAGCCCUCUUACUCUACAGCUUUUCCUCCUUUAUUCACCUUUUUAACCUCUUCAGGCCCUCUGACUUUACAGCUUUUCAUAUGUUUUCACCUUUUUAACCUCUUCCAGCCCUCUUACUACACAGCUUUUCAUCCUUUUUCACCUUUUUAAACUUUUUUGGUCCUCGUCAGCCUUUAACUUUUCACCUUUUAUGCCUUCUUUCAACUUUUAAGCUCUUUCAGCCCUGUUACUCUACAGCUUUUUAGCCUUUUUAGAUAUUCAUGUUUCUGCCUUUUCAACUCCUUCAAACAUACAACUUCAUGUUCAGCUAGAGAAACUGUUCAGCUAUCAAAAUGUUUAACUGUGGUAGCCCAUUAAUCCUUUUGCUUUUAAGCCUUUCUGCCUUACCAGCUAUUGGAAAAU